UACGUAGGGUGCGAGCGUUAAUCGGAAUUACUGGGCGUAAAGCGUGCGCAGGCGGCUGUGCAAGACAGGUGUGAAAUCCCCGGGCUUAACCUGGGAACUGCACUUGUGACUGCAUGGCUGGAGUACGGCAGAGGGGGAUGGAAUUCCGCGUGUAGCAGUGAAAUGCGUAGAUAUGCGGAGGAACACCGAUGGCGAAGGCAGCUUCUUGGUCCAUAUCUGACGCUCAUGCACGAAAGCGUGGGGAGCAAACAGG
RNAcentral lists this ribosomal RNA (253 nucleotides) under uncultured bacterium. Its description in RNAcentral is "partial 16S ribosomal RNA". It matches the Rfam family "Bacterial small subunit ribosomal RNA", at positions 524 to 776 of the family's 1533-position model. The record is from RNAcentral.